RNAcentral lists this ribosomal RNA (492 nucleotides) under uncultured bacterium. RNAcentral's name for it is "partial 16S ribosomal RNA". It matches the Rfam family "Bacterial small subunit ribosomal RNA", at positions 29 to 507 of the family's 1533-position model. The record is from RNAcentral.
AGUGAACGCUGGCGGUAGGCCUAACACAUGCAAGUCGAACGGCAGCACAGUAAGAGCUUGCUCUUACGGGUGGCGAGUGGCGGACGGGUGAGGAAUACAUCGGAAUCUACUUUUUCGUGGGGGAUAACGUAGGGAAACUUACGCUAAUACCGCAUACUACCUACGGGUGAAAGCAGGGGAUCUUCGGACCUUGCGCGUUUGAAUGAGCCGAUGUCGGAUUAGCUAGUUGGCGGGGUAAAGGCCCACCAAGGCAACGAUCCGUAGCUGGUCUGAGAGGAUGAUCAGCCACACUGGAACUGAGACACGGUCCAGACUCCUACGGGAGGCAGCAGUGGGGAAUAUUGGACAAUGGGCGCAAGCCUGAUCCAGCCAUGCCGCGUGGGUGAAGAAGGCCUUCGGGUUGUAAAGCCCUUUUGUUGGGAAAGAAAAGCAGCAGGUUAAUCCCCCGAUGUUCUGACGGUACCCAAAGAAUAAGCACCGGCUAACUUCGUG